This 73-nucleotide transfer RNA is filed under the name Actinophytocola sp. RNAcentral describes it as "tRNA-Glu". It matches the Rfam family "tRNA". From Rfam's summary of the family: Transfer RNA (tRNA) molecules are approximately 80 nucleotides in length. Lineage: Bacteria; Bacillati; Actinomycetota; Actinomycetes; Pseudonocardiales; Pseudonocardiaceae. RNAcentral also lists the same sequence under 3 other names. The record is from RNAcentral.
GGCCCCGUCGUCUAGUGGCCUAGGACGCCGCCCUCUCAAGGCGGUAGCGCGGGUUCAAAUCCCGUCGGGGCUA